Molecule: ribosomal RNA, 547 nt
Filed under: uncultured bacterium
Lineage: Bacteria
Description: bacterial SSU rRNA
Rfam family: Bacterial small subunit ribosomal RNA
Source: RNAcentral
UGGGGAAUAUUGCGCAAUGGGGGGAACCCUGACGCAGCCAUGCCGCGUGAAUGAAGAAGGCCUUAGGGUUGUAAAGUUCUUUCGGUAUUGAGGAAGGUUGAUGUGUUAAUAGCACAUCAAAUUGACGUUAAAUACAGAAGAAGCACCGGCCAACUCCGUGCCAGCAGCCGCGGUAAUACGGAGGGUGCGAGCGUUAAUCGGAAUAACUGGGCGUAAAGGGCACGCAGGCGGUUAUUUAAGUGAGGUGUGAAAGCCCCGGGCUUAACCUGGGAAUUGCAUUUCAGACUGGGUAACUAGAGUACUUUAGGGAGGGGUAGAAUUCCACGUGUAGCGGUGAAAUGCGUAGAGAUGUGGAGGAAUACCGAAGGCGAAGGCAGCCCCUUGGGAAUGUACUGACGCUCAUGUGCGAAAGCGUGGGGAGCAAACAGGAUUAGAUACCCUGGUAGUCCACGCUGUAAACGCUGUCGAUUUGGGGGUUGGGGUUUAACUCUGGCGCCCGUAGCUAACGUGAUAAAUCGACCGCCUGGGGAGUACGGCCGCAAGGUUA